UGACGUAGAUGCUAGUCUCUGAGAUUAAGCCAUGCAUGUCAGUGAAGCCUUACGGUGGAACGGCGAACGGCUCAGUUGUGUUGCGGUAAUUUGGUCUCUGUGUGUAAACUAACCACGGUAACCUGUGGCUAAAAGCGGAGGAUAAGGCGCAACCCUAUCAGCUUGUUGGUAGUGUAAAGGACUACCAAGGCCAUGACGGGUAACGGGAAAUCAGGGUUUGAUUCCGGAGAGGGAGCCU
This 238-nucleotide ribosomal RNA is filed under the name Enterocytozoon bieneusi. RNAcentral describes it as "partial small subunit ribosomal RNA". It matches the Rfam family "Microsporidia small subunit ribosomal RNA", at positions 19 to 256 of the family's 1311-position model. The record is from RNAcentral. Lineage: Eukaryota; Fungi; Microsporidia; Enterocytozoonidae.